AACAAACAAGGUCCAGGGGCAGGGGGUAGUUCGGCUGGGUGGGGUGGACUGGCCAGACACAAACAAACAAUACAAACAAGCGUCUAUGUGUGUGAGGGUGAUCGGGUGCAACCAGGCUGGUUGUUUGAUUAGAGGAUGAUGUCAGCUUAGUCUCACAUCUAGAUGCAACAUAGACAGACCCUAUUCAGGACCUCUUAACUGGCUUUAUCCUCUCUUUUAACCUGUCAAUUAUUUCCGUCUCGGUGUUUAAUUCUGUCUCAUUGGGUUGGAACUGCAGGAGCCAUGCCCUUGAUUCUUGCUCCGAAAGUGGACCUGGAGAAAUUUUUGGUUCGACGAUGUAAGAUACUCCCUCCGUUCCGAAUUACUUGUCUUAGAUUUGUUUAAAUACGGAUGUAUCUAGCAUUAAAAUGAGUCUAAAUACAUCAGUAUCUAGACAAAUUCAAGACAAGUAAUUCGGAACGGAGGGAGUAUUACUUAGUGCGUUUGGUCAUGGUACUGUUUCCCCAAAGGUGGUUAUUUCUUCAUUUUUGAAUCAUGCUUGUUGUGUGCUGAUGGUGCGUGAGGAACGCCAUGGUUCUUCUCUGAAUCAUUUGGUAGUUCUCUCAAUCUUGUGCAUUUUGUUCUCUAAAACAUGUGGUAUUUCUAGGUGCACAGCAUGUUGUGUGGUGGAUAGGGGAAGCUGAGGCGACGACUGGCGACUGUUCUCUUUACAACUGGCGUGGUUGAGAGGCUAGGGAGUAGGUCAUUUUGCUAUUUGGUCAGCGAUGGAGAUGAAUUCGGGAGAGAUGUGGCUGGGAGUUGUACCGGUCAUUUUUCUGUCUCUAUAUUAUCCAUUUGCACUAAUCGGUAACAGUUUUUUGAGCAGGCAAUAGUGUAGCAUGCAUGAACAGAAAAAUUGUAUAAGGCGAGGAGGACAAUCUGAGCGACCAACAUUAUGUUUUUUUACAGAACGACCAACAUUAUGUUGAGUAUUGAGAUGUAGGUAAGGCACGUAUAAUCUGAAUUGAGCCAUAUGGAGGGCAUGUAUAGUCUGUAUGUGCAGUCUUAAUUGUAUGUUGAAUUCUUCGCUACUAGGAAAAGGGCUAUAGCUAAUAUGGUAUAGCAGUGGCGCACCAUGUGUAGGUACGCCAUUAAUGUCCAUAUCACUAAUGGCGUACCACACCCAUGGUGCGCCAUUACUAACAUUUUUUUUCCAAAACUAGUAAUGGCGCACCACACACUCUGUGCGUCACUACUAACAAUUUUUUUUAUUUUUUUUCAAAACUAGUAAUGGCGCAUUAGUGUAUAGUGCGCCAUUACUAGUUCAAACUAGUAAUGGCGCACCACAACCAUGGUGCGCCACUACUAACAUUUUUUUUACUUUUUUGCAAAAACUAGUAAUGGCGCAUCACAUAAUAGGUGCGCCAUUUAAAAGAUCGUGAAUGU
This 1425-nucleotide long non-coding RNA is filed under the name Triticum aestivum (bread wheat). RNAcentral describes it as "long non-coding RNA (TAES_LNC009350)". The stretch from base 340 to 474 matches the Rfam family "MIR1120/MIR1122 microRNA precursor family". Lineage: Eukaryota; Viridiplantae; Streptophyta; Magnoliopsida; Poales; Poaceae. The record is from RNAcentral.